This 72-nucleotide transfer RNA is filed under the name Lachnospiraceae bacterium. Its description in RNAcentral is "tRNA-Glu". It matches the Rfam family "tRNA". From Rfam's summary of the family: Transfer RNA (tRNA) molecules are approximately 80 nucleotides in length. Their secondary structure includes four short double-helical elements and three loops (D, anti-codon, and T loops). The record is from RNAcentral. RNAcentral also lists the same sequence under 1 other name. Lineage: Bacteria; Bacillati; Bacillota; Clostridia; Lachnospirales; Lachnospiraceae.
GGCCCGUUGGUCAAGCGGUCAAGACGCCGCCCUCUCACGGCGGAAACAGCGGUUCGAUUCCGCUACGGGCUA